Molecule: long non-coding RNA, 2657 nt
Organism: Oncorhynchus keta (chum salmon)
Lineage: Eukaryota; Metazoa; Chordata; Actinopteri; Salmoniformes; Salmonidae
Exons: 3
Source: RefSeq, a predicted model, not a curated record
GCAGCUGCAGAAACUUGCAGUCAAAACUUCAUGACCUUUGAUCACAUUUUUGUAAAGUCCAUGCAAUCAGCAUGUAGGCUCAACAUACAAAGACUUGACAAAAAUGAUCUGGUUGAACGCGCCCUACAACUUGGAGGGUUGUUCAAGUAAAACUUCCCAGUCGGAACUCCGAACUUCAGAUUACUCUUCAUAGCAUGAACACCUCCAAUAGUUGUGCAAUCGAACUCUAUGGAUAGAAUUAAUGCUGCGCUCACCUGCUAGUCGGAACUAGAAAACUCAGAAAUGUCAGACAUGCUAACUGGCUGAACGCGGAAGGUGUAUAACCACAACCAGGAUGCUGGCCCAUGUUGACUCCAAUGCUUCCCACAGUUGUGUCAAGUUGGCUGGAUGUCCUGUGGGUGAUGGACCAUUCUUGAUACACACUGGAAACUAUUGAGUAUGAAAACCCCAGCAGUAUUGCAGUUCUUGACACACUCAAACCAGUGCGCCUGGCACCAACUACUAUACCACGUUCAAAGGCACAAUCUUGUCUUGGCCAUUCACUCACUCUCUGUAUGGCACACAUACACAAUCUGUGUCUCAAGGCUUAAAACACCUUUAACCUGUCUCCUCCCUUCAUCUAUACUGAUUUAAUUGGAUUUAACUGGUGACAUCAAUAAGGGAUCAUAGCAUUCACCUGGUCAGUCUAUGUCAUGUAAAGAGCAGGUGUUACUAAUGUUUUGUACACUCAGUGUGUACGGUAUGGCUCUGGUCAGAAUUAUGUGACAAUGACCUUCACAAUCAGGAAUGGAAUAAUUUAAGUAAAGAGCAGUCUACAUAACUAUUUACUAACACAACGAAGACAGCGACUUUUACACCAAAAAUGUUAAUGUUCAAAUAUGGAGAAUGAUUUCAUGACAGGGGAGAACAUUUGAAUUUGAAAUAUAUCUAAAAAAAACAUGAUAUAUUUAAUUAGAAAAUAGCAUUUGAGGAGGCCUAUGAAGAGGAUAUGUAAAAUAUCAAAGUGUGGAACAAUUUGGUCCAGGAAACUUUUGGCGGUGUUUGCUGUAAACUAUACCACUGGAUUUUACAUUUGCUGUUAUAGCCUUGAUAUACACUAACGUUCAAAAGUUUGGGGUCACUUAGAAAUGUCCUUGUUUUUGAAAGAAAAGCAAAUUUUUGGUCCACUAAAAUAACAUCAAAUUGAUCAGAAAUACAGUGUAGACAUUGUUAAUGUUGUAAAUGGAAUAUCUACAUAGGCAUACAGAGACCCAUUAUCAUCAAUCAUCACUUCUGUGUUCCAAUGGAAUGUUGUGCUAGCUACAUUAGCUACAGAGUAGCAAAGAAAACGCCAUUUCUCAGACUGGCCAAUAAAACAAAAAUAUUAAGAAGGGCAAAAGAACACAGACACUGGACAGAGGAACUCUGCCUAGAAGGCCAGCAUGGUUGACGUUGAGACUUGUGUUUUGCUGGUACUAUUUAAUUAAGCUGCCAAUUGAGGACUUGUAAGGCGCCUGUUUUUCAAACUAGAAAAUAAUGUACUUGUCCUCUUGCUCAGUUGUGCACCGGGGCCUCCCACUCCUCUUUCUAUUCUGGUUGGAGACAGUUUGCGCUGUUCUGUGAAGGGAGUAGUACACAGCGUUGAACGAGAUCUUCAGUUUCUUGGCCAUUUCUCGCGUGGAAUAGCCUUCAUUUCUCAGAACAAGAAUAGACGGAUGACUUUCAGAAGAAAGGUCUUUGUUUAUGUCCAUUUUGAGCAUGUAAUCGAACCCACAAUUGCUGAUGCUCCAGAUACUCAACUAGUCUAAAGAAGGCCAGUUUUAUUGCUUCUUUAUUCAGGACAACAGUUUUCAGCUAUGCUAACAUAAUUGCAAAAGGGUUUUCUAAUGAUCAAUUAGACUUUUAAAAUUAUAAACUUGGAUUAGCUAACACAACAUGCCAUUAGAACACAGGAGUGAUGGUUUCUGAUAAUGGGCCUCUGUACACCUAUGUAGAUAUUCCAUUAAAAAUCAGCCGUUUCCAGCUACAAUAGUAAUUUACAACAAUUAACAACAUCUACACUGUAGAUCAAUUUGAUGUUAUUUUAAUGGACAAAAAAUAAUAUUUUCUUUCAAAAACAAGGACAUUUCUAAGUGACCCCAAACAUUUGAACGGUGGAGUAUUUCAACACUUUUCUUUGAGGUGAUAAUAUCUGAUAGUAAAACAAUUCAUGCCAUGAAUGAGAAUAACCCCAUUUAUAAUGCCCAAAUCAUUUCUCGUAUCCAGAUUUUUUGUUUGUGUUGCCAUGACGUUUCUUUCAGACCGGAUCUCACCUGAGAUCCGCUCCUACCAACUGGAAGGUUUCUUACCUUGAUGAGUUUCACAUGUGGGAACCAACUUCUCAAAAUGCAACUGAAACUGUCCGCCAUGGACCUCCCUAAGACAGAGGAGUGCUGCCAGUGAGCUCUGUGGCCCCUCAGGAUUGCACACUGCUGGCUGAAGCCCCUGGUAAACUACAGAUUCCUAUCAGUGAUGACGCCCUCUAGCCUUUCCACUGCUACAGGUGGGAGGAAGCAGGACUUCCAGGGACUCCGGAGAGCACAGAGAGGGCAGAGGAAAGUAGAAGAAGCCUUUAAGCAUUACUAAGCACUCGGUUGUACUUGUACUCUGUAUUUCAUUUCUCAAAUAUUGUAGCAAUU